CUUGGUCAUUUAGAGGAAGUAAAAGUCGUAACAAGGUCUCCGUUGGUGAACCAGCGGAGGGAUCAUUACAGGACUCGCAAGACUCCUACAACCCUGUGAACCUACUAUACGAACGUUGCUUCGGCGGGUGCGCCCCGGGGAUUCGUUCCCGCGGCGCGUCAGCCCGCCGGCAGCCUACAAAUUCUGUUUCUUUGCGUUGGCAUCUCGAGAAAAACAAAUAAGUUAAAACUUUCAACAACGGAUCUCUUGGUUCUGGCAUCGAUGAAGAACGCAGCGAAAUGCGAUAAGUAAUGCGAAUUGCAGAAUUCCGUGAGUCAUCGAAUCUUUGAACGCACAUUGCGCCCGCCAGUAUUCUGGCGGGCAUGCCUGUUCGAGCGUCAUUGCAACCCUCAGGCCCUGCCUGGCGUUGGAGGACUGCACUGCAGCCUCCCAAAGCAAGCGGCGGCGGCGCCCCAAAACCGAACGCAGUAGUUACUUCUCGUUCUGGGUGUGGGACGUUGACCUGCCGGAAAACCCCAUCUUUUUAGUGGUUGACCUCGAAUCAGGUAGGAAUACCCGCUGAACUUAAGCAUAUCAAUAAGCGGAGGAGAGU
Molecule: ribosomal RNA, 592 nt
Filed under: uncultured Chloridium
Lineage: Eukaryota; Fungi; Ascomycota; Sordariomycetes; Chaetosphaeriales; Chaetosphaeriaceae
Description: eukaryotic LSU rRNA
Rfam family: 5.8S ribosomal RNA (bases 227-380)
Source: RNAcentral